RNAcentral lists this ribosomal RNA (540 nucleotides) under uncultured bacterium. Its description in RNAcentral is "bacterial SSU rRNA". It matches the Rfam family "Bacterial small subunit ribosomal RNA", at positions 356 to 896 of the family's 1533-position model. The record is from RNAcentral.
AAGGAAUAUUGGUCAAUGGAGGGAACUCUGAACCAGCCAUGCCGCGUGCAGGAUGACUGCCCUAUGGGUUGUAAACUGCUUUUGUCAGGGAAUAAACCUUUCCACGUGUGGGAAGCUGAAUGUACCUGAAGAAUAAGGAUCGGCUAACUCCGUGCCAGCAGCCGCGGUAAUACGGAGGAUCCAAGCGUUAUCCGGAUUUAUUGGGUUUAAAGGGUGCGUAGGCGGUCCUAUAAGUCAGUGGUGAAAGACGGCAGCUUAACUGCCGCAGUGCCUUUGAUACUGUAGGACUUGAAUCUAUUUGAAGUGGGCGGAAUAAGACAAGUAGCGGUGAAAUGCAUAGAUAUGUCUUAGAACUCCGAUUGCGAAGGCAGCUCACUAAGUUAGUAUUGACGCUGAUGCACGAAAGCGUGGGGAUCAAACAGGAUUAGAUACCCUGGUAGUCCACGCCCUAAACGAUGAUAACUCGAUGUUUGCGAUACACAGUAAGCGUCCAAGCGAAAGCGUUAAGUUAUCCACCUGGGGAGUACGGUCGCAAGAUUG